GCGGAUUUAGACAUUUCAUAUUAGUGUGGCAAAAUUUCAAGUAAGCUUUACGUACCUCAUCUUGGAUGUCAGGAUGAUAGCUUGAAAUUGGAGGCCUAAAACCCUAAAAAAGCAAUUGUAGAAUGAAUGAGAAAGUAGAGAAUCAAUUGACUAUUUCACUUACCUUAACUUAGACUUAGAGUGAGAACUGAGAGAUACACUAGAUUUGAAGGAGUGAAGAGAGAAAAUGUUGUUGCUGACUGAUGAGAGUGGAAGAAGGAGAGGUUUGUUUGUUUGUUGUGAGAAGAAAGACGAUUGUGAAUUGUGAUUUGUGAGAAGAGAAGAAGAAACCGAUUGUUUGUGAGAGUAGAGAAAAGGAGAAGAAACAAUGUGUUUUGUUUU
RNAcentral lists this long non-coding RNA (381 nucleotides) under Medicago truncatula (barrel medic). Its description in RNAcentral is "long non-coding RNA (MTRU_LNC008307)". Lineage: Eukaryota; Viridiplantae; Streptophyta; Magnoliopsida; Fabales; Fabaceae. The record is from RNAcentral.